UGAGGAAUAUUGGUCAAUGGACGCAAGUCUGAACCAGCCAAGUAGCGUGCAGGAUGACGGCCCUAUGGGUUGUAAACUGCUUUUAUAUGGGGAUAAAGUGAGGGACGUGUCCCUUAUUGCAUGUACCAUACGAAUAAGGACCGGCUAAUUCCGUGCCAGCAGCCGCGGUAAUACGGAAGGUCCAGGCGUUAUCCGGAUUUAUUGGGUUUAAAGGGAGCGUAGGCUGUUUGUUAAGCGUGUUGUGAAAUGUAGGAGCUCAACUUUUAGAUUGCAGCGCGAACUGGCAGACUUGAGUGCGCACAACGUAGGCGGAAUUCAUGGUGUAGCGGUGAAAUGCUUAGAUAUCAUGACGAACUCCGAUUGCGAAGGCAGCUUACGGGAGCGCAACUGACGCUGAAGCUCGAAGGUGCGGGUAUCGAACAGG
This 424-nucleotide ribosomal RNA is filed under the name Verrucomicrobiota bacterium. Its description in RNAcentral is "Verrucomicrobia bacterium partial 16S ribosomal RNA". It matches the Rfam family "Bacterial small subunit ribosomal RNA", at positions 355 to 776 of the family's 1533-position model. Lineage: Bacteria; Pseudomonadati; Verrucomicrobiota. The record is from RNAcentral.